GCCUAUGGCGUACCGCCCUGAGAGCGCCCGGUCUCGUCUGAUCUCGGAAGCUAAGCAGGGUCAGGCCCGGUUAGUACUUGGAUGGGAAUACCGGGUGCUGUAGGCU
This 106-nucleotide ribosomal RNA is filed under the name Chloebia gouldiae (Gouldian finch). The record is from RNAcentral. Lineage: Eukaryota; Metazoa; Chordata; Aves; Passeriformes; Passeridae.